AAAAGGACGGCGAAAUUACCAGACCAGGACUUGAGAUACUAAUGCAUCUGGUUACGGAUUUAAGAGCAGUCGUACCGACAGAUCCUGAAAACGAGACAUGAGUAAAAUGUGAAUUGAAGAAGCUAAUAUAUGUUCAUCACCUAUUGGAAAUCAAGACUUUGCCCACCUUGUGUGUUCAAUCUGACACGACAGGACCCGGAUGAGGGAGUCGAAACCCUAUCCACAGCAGUUGUUGGUGGGACAGAGCCGUCAAAGUUGAGUCUUCCUUUCACAAGGCCCCUCUUGUUAGACUUGGCAGUUUGUAGGAGUCAAGUCUUGCGGAGUGAUAGACUUAUCACUCUUAGGAGAUGCUUGCAUUUGCGGGGUGUUAGGGCAAGUCGAAGUG
This is a long non-coding RNA of Tarenaya hassleriana, 385 nucleotides long. RefSeq lists it as uncharacterized. Lineage: Eukaryota; Viridiplantae; Streptophyta; Magnoliopsida; Brassicales; Cleomaceae. The transcript has 3 exons. The record is from RefSeq and is a predicted model, not a curated record.